GGGGCGGCCUAUACAUGCAGUCGAGCGGACAGAUGGGAGCUUGCUCCCUGAUGUUAGCGGCGGACGGGUGAGUAACACGUGGGUAACCUGCCUGUAAGACUGGGAUAACUCCGGGAAACCGGGGCUAAUACCGGAUGGUUGUCUGAACCGCAUGGUUCAGACAUAAAAGGUGGCUUCGGCUACCACUUACAGAUGGACCCGCGGCGCAUUAGCUAGUUGGUGAGGUAACGGCUCACCAAGGCGACGAUGCGUAGCCGACCUGAGAGGGUGAUCGGCCACACUGGGACUGAGACACGGCCCAGACUCCUACGGGAGGCAGCAGUAGGGAAUCUUCCGCAAUGGACGAAAGUCUGACGGAGCAACGCCGCGUGAGUGAUGAAGGUUUUCGGAUCGUAAAGCUCUGUUGUUAGGGAAGAACAAGUGCCGUUCAAAUAGGGCGGCACCUUGACGGUACCUAACCAGAAAGCCACGGCUAACUACGUGCCAGCAGCCGCGGUAAUACGUAGGUGGCAAGCGUUGUCCGGAAUUAUUGGGCGUAAAGGGCUCGCAGGCGGUUUCUUAAGUCUGAUGUGAAAGCCCCCGGCUCAACCGGGGAGGGUCAUUGGAAACUGGGGAACUUGAGUGCAGAAGAGGAGAGUGGAAUUCCACGUGUAGCGGUGAAAUGCGUAGAGAUGUGGAGGAACACCAGUGGCGAAGGCGACUCUCUGGUCUGUAACUGACGCUGAGGAGCGAAAGCGUGGGGAGCGAACAGGAUUAGAUACCCUGGUAGUCCACGCCGUAAACGAUGAGUGCUAAGUGUUAGGGGGUUUCCGCCCCUUAGUGCUGCAGCUAACGCAUUAAG
RNAcentral lists this ribosomal RNA (841 nucleotides) under Bacillus subtilis. RNAcentral's name for it is "bacterial SSU rRNA". It matches the Rfam family "Bacterial small subunit ribosomal RNA", at positions 41 to 864 of the family's 1533-position model. Lineage: Bacteria; Bacillati; Bacillota; Bacilli; Caryophanales; Bacillaceae. The record is from RNAcentral.